CCUACGGGUGGCAGCAGUAGGGGAUAUUGCACAAUGGGGGAAACCCUGAUGCAGCAACGCCGCGUGGAGGAUGAAGGUUUUCGGAUUGUAAACUCCUUUUGUUAGAGAAGAUAAUGACGGUAUCUAACGAAUAAGCACCGGCUAACUCCGUGCCAGCAGCCGCGGUAAUACGGAGGGUGCAAGCGUUACUCGGAAUCACUGGGCGUAAAGAGCGCGUAGGCGGGUUAGCAAGUCAGAUGUGAAAUCCUAUGGCUUAACCAUAGAACUGCAUUUGAAACUGUUAGUCUAGAGUAUGGGAGAGGUAGGUGGAAUUCUUGGUGUAGGGGUAAAAUGCGUAGAGAUCAAGAGGAAUACUCAUUGCGAAGGCGACCUGCUAGAACAUAACUGACGCUGAUGCGCGAAAGCGUGGGGAGCAAACAGGAUUAGAUACCCGUGUAGUC
RNAcentral lists this ribosomal RNA (440 nucleotides) under uncultured bacterium. RNAcentral describes it as "partial 16S ribosomal RNA". It matches the Rfam family "Bacterial small subunit ribosomal RNA", at positions 338 to 795 of the family's 1533-position model. The record is from RNAcentral.